RNAcentral lists this long non-coding RNA (1964 nucleotides) under Octopus vulgaris (common octopus). The record is from RNAcentral. Lineage: Eukaryota; Metazoa; Mollusca; Cephalopoda; Octopoda; Octopodidae.
GGACUACCACCACACUUUCUCAAACUUAAAGUUGGUGCCCCUAUAAUGCUCAUCAGAAAUUUGGUUCCCCCAAAACAAUGCAAUGGCACACGUUUGAUCGUUAAGUCCUUAUCUCCCACCGUAAGCUUAUAUCAAUAUUUGCCUGAAUAAUCAUCAUAAUUCAGUGCAAUCAUUAACAGUACUUUCAAGCAAUUCAGCCCCGAGCAACGCCGGGCAAUUCUGCUAGUUUAAGUAUAUAAGUGCGUGUGUGUAACAAUAAUGAACUUAUGGUAUACUGUGCUCAGGUGCACUACAGGAGAGAGGGAGAUAUGUCUAUAUAUAAAUGUGUAUGUAUGUAUAUGUGUAUAUAUAUAUAUAUAUAUAUAUAUAAUUCAUGGUGGCCUAAAUGUAUACAUGUGUGUACAUAUACACAUGUGUGUGUGUGUGUGUGUCUCUCUCUCUCUCUCUCUCUCUCUAUAUAUAUAUAUAUAUAUAUAUAUAGUCUUCUACUAUGUUGUAGGGCUGACUGCAGCCCUGUGAGUAGAUCAGGUACAUGGAAACUGAAAAACAUCCAUAUAUAUGUAUGCUUCUAUCUAUCUAUCUAUCUAUCUAUCUAUCUAUCAAUAUGUAUGUAUGUAUGUAUAAAGAUUAAAGUAAAAGUUAAAAAGCAAACCAUUGGACAUCACUUUAAAAAACACAUUUAAUUUAGACAGACACUCUGUAUAUCAUUUAUCUUCUCUCUAAAUUAAAUGUAUUUUUCAAGUGAUGCCAAACGAUUUGCCUUUUCAUUUUUACUUCAAUCUUUAUCUACCUGCUCAAAGAGAAACCACCUAUAGCCACUUCUGAUAGGCAAUCUCAACAUCAUAUGUUCAGUUGCAGUUCAAACCAGAGUUUUAGGGGUAAACCAAACAAAGCACAUAUAGAACAAACUCAUAGAUCAGAUGCAUUGAGAUUUUGUCAGUGACCACAUGACAAUGCAUCUGUUUCACAACAAAUGGUAGUUUGUCUUUGUAUGUUUUUCAUUGGCUUCCGUGUGUUGUCCAUGCUGCAACCCCUAUUUAUAUAGGGCUACCUGCUUCUCUUACUACUUUUACAUACUCACAUACACUCAUACAUGUAUGUGUAUAUGUAUGCGUAUAUUUCUAUGUAUGUCUAUAAAUAUGAGUUUGUGUGUGUAUAUAAAUGUGUAUGUAUGUUUAUAUAUAUAUAUAUGUGUGUGUGUGUAUUUAUAUAUGCAUGUGUCCCCGGAUGUGUGGAAAGCAGACCUUAAAUGAUGAUGGUGAGCCAACAAAGAAAGGGGUGCAGCAGCUACAUUUGUCUGUGGUGCAAGGAGCUUAAAUAUGGUCGAAGGAACUAGGACUGGGCCUGUGAAUCUGAAGGUUCUCUCACUGAAAAGAAAAAUACUAAUCACAGCCCUUUCUGGGAGAACAUUCACCCUCUGAGAUUCAAAAUUUGUUUUGUGCUAUCUUGCAAUUUCACCCCACCCCACCCCCAGGACUUUCUUUGUGUGUGUGUGUGUGUGUGUGCUGGCAGUAUCACAACCACCAAAAAUGUGAGAUAAUCACAGCAAGAAUGAUCUUUUGAGGAUAGUUCUGCUGAAUGUGGUGGGGAGUGACCAAGGGUUAAAUAACGACCUUCUCACUUCACCCCUCCAACUUGUAUUUUGCAUUUUUCUUGUGUUUCUUUCUCUUCUCCUUUUGUCUCCUUCCAUCAUUUUAUCUCCUUCAAUCUAGCCCACCCCACCAACUUUGAUUUUUCUCUCCUUUUUACUCUUUUUUUAAAAUAUUAAUUGAGGUUACUAUUUUAAGGCACCUAUUUACCAUUUUUAGAAGAACAAUGAGUUUGUUGCAGGUUUCUCCAAUUCUGACAUAACAGAGAGUAUUCUCUGCAAACAAAACAUUUUUUCUUGAUUUUUUAUAUUUCUUUUUUUCUCUUUUUGAACCCUUUUAGAUAAUAAUCAAUAAAUGGUAUGACCUCUUCCACAU